Molecule: transfer RNA, 92 nt
Filed under: Anolis carolinensis (green anole)
Lineage: Eukaryota; Metazoa; Chordata; Lepidosauria; Squamata; Anolidae
Rfam family: tRNA
About the family: Transfer RNA (tRNA) molecules are approximately 80 nucleotides in length. Their secondary structure includes four short double-helical elements and three loops (D, anti-codon, and T loops). Further hydrogen bonds mediate the characteristic L-shaped molecular structure. tRNAs have two regions of fundamental functional importance: the anti-codon, which is responsible for specific mRNA codon recognition, and the 3' end, to which the tRNAs corresponding amino acid is attached (by aminoacyl-tRNA synthetases). tRNAs cope with the degeneracy of the genetic code in two manners: having more than one tRNA (with a specific anti-codon) for a particular amino acid; and 'wobble' base-pairing, i.e. permitting non-standard base-pairing at the 3rd anti-codon position.
Source: Rfam by way of RNAcentral
CCUUCGAUAGCUCAGCUGGUAGAGCGGAGGACUGUAGAGUGUGUAAUGCUAAAGUCAUCCUUAGGUCGCUGGUUCGAUUCCGGCUCGAAGGA